GGUGAACGCUGGCGGCGUGCCUAACACAUGCAAGUCGAUCGGAGCAGCAAUGCUUAGAGGCGAACGGGUGAGGAAAACGUAGUAACCAACCCUUUAGACUGGGAUAGCCACUGGAAACGGUGGGUAAUACCGGAUAAGCUCGAGAGAGGAAAGGCAGAGAAGCGCUAAAGGACGGAACUGCGCCCCAUCAGAUAGUUGGUGAGGUAAAGGCUUACCAAGUCAAAGACGGGAAACCGACGUGAGAGCGUGUACGGUCACAAGGGCACUGAGAGACGGGCCCUACUCCUACGGGAGGCAGCAGUGGGGGAUUUUGGACAAUGGGCGAAAGCCUGAUCCAGCGACGCCGCGUGGAGGACGAAGCCCUUCGGGGUGUAAACUCCUUUUCUCAGGGAAAAAGGAUGAUGGUACCUGAGGAAUAAGCCCCGGCUAACUACGUG
This 437-nucleotide ribosomal RNA is filed under the name uncultured bacterium. Its description in RNAcentral is "bacterial SSU rRNA". It matches the Rfam family "Bacterial small subunit ribosomal RNA", at positions 28 to 507 of the family's 1533-position model. The record is from RNAcentral.